Molecule: long non-coding RNA, 677 nt
Filed under: Homo sapiens (human)
Lineage: Eukaryota; Metazoa; Chordata; Mammalia; Primates; Hominidae
Description: non-protein coding lnc-SPC25-4:1
Source: RNAcentral
GAGAGGCCUCUGAGAAGUUCCUAUCUAUCCUAAUCCACCUGAGGAUCCAAUUUGAUCCUUAUAUUUUAAAACAUAAUAACUGACUUCUCUUCUGAAACUUUCUUUUUCAGGGCUCCAUUUGGGUGAAAUGCUCUUAGAUUCUAAUUUUGUUUUCCAACAUUUGCUUAUCUUCCCCUUGAAUUUGGUGUCAUCUCCAGUAAAAUUUUUUGACAUCUUCAAGAAAACAGAAUUUGAUCCUUCAUAGACAAAGUAUUAAUCUUUUAAGGUCUUCUUUUAGAUAUUUUCUCCGUAACUUAAUUUGUUCUCACUAUUGUGCAAUUGUUCUCUAUACCAAGCAGCUAUAGACUGUUAGUGGCACAUCACCUUCCCAGGUAGCUCUUUCUUAUAAUGAAAAGACACGUAGGUUGAGUUUGCGGGGGGAAAAAUCUAGAACAGUUCCUUCAGUCCCCCUGAAAGAGAUCAGGCCAGUUGUCUUGCUGAGCAACCCUAUACUCCCGUUAUUUGAUUCUUUCUCAUGGCUGCCUUUUUGGAAGGAACUAUUGAUGAAGGAAGCUAUUCUUUGUGUAAGAAUGUCAGUCAGUAAACAAGGAAGAUAGAAGUAGGAACUCAGUAUUCUGCUACUUCCUAUGAAAUAACUAUUGAAGGCAAAGAUAUGAACACAAUUAGCAGAAAGGUUU